AACCCGCCUGCAUGAAGUUGGAAUCGCUAGUAAUCGCGGAUCAGCAUGCCGCGGUGAAUACGUUCCCGGGCCUUGUACACACCGCCCGUCACACCAUGAGAGUCGGGAACACCCGAAGUCCGUAGCCUAACCGCAAGGAGGGCGCGGCCGAAGGUGGGUUCGAUAAUUGGGGUGAAGUCGUAACAAGGUAGC
This 192-nucleotide ribosomal RNA is filed under the name uncultured bacterium. Its description in RNAcentral is "partial 16S ribosomal RNA". It matches the Rfam family "Bacterial small subunit ribosomal RNA", at positions 1309 to 1500 of the family's 1533-position model. The record is from RNAcentral.